AUGACCUCGUAGACGUAUCUUAUUUCCAACUUGCAAAAUGAUGAAACGUGAUUGGGCUGCAGGAACCCGCUGCCACUCUCCCCCUCUCUCCCACAUACGCUUUCCCUUCCCAGGGCGGCUCCGAGCCCGGCUGGCUCCAUCCUCACCCGGCUGAAGGGCAGUGGGUGCAGAGCAGCUCCAUGCACUCCCUGCUCCCUGGAAGGGCAGGGUUGGUGAUUUAUUCCUGCCCCCAUCAUGGAGAGAGACUUUGGCAGUGGGAGAAGGCAAGCCCUUUGCAUUCCCUGGGACAUCGAUGGAGUCACGGAUGAAAGGGAAGAGGAGCAGCUCUGCCAGGCCGCUUUUGCCAAAAUUCACAAGGUGGGAGCUGUUAAGAAAAUCACAAGGCGGGAGAAGUAUGAAGGCAAGUCAUAAAAAAGCAAGGAAGUAAAUGCCCUGAUUCCAGGCUGGCAAAAGGCCAGUCAAGUGAUGACAGCAGAGCUGCACUAUGAAUGCUGUCAAAAACAUUUCAAAUGACAGAAGAGCUCGCCUGAAGUGCAGCAGAGCAUGUAGAAGUGGGACCUGGCAAAGCUAGGCAAACUGGCAGUGUGACGAUAGGUAGAAUAUGAAAACAAAACAAUGUCAUGGACAAUACCACUAGGUUUCAAAAGAAAAAAAAGACAGCACCUGGGGCAAGGAAGGACCUUAAAAUUAUCACCAAAGUGUUCUUUGUCUGCACUGAUGGUGGAAAUGUGACUGGAUACCUCAACGACAAGAUAAGCGACAACAAAAAUAAUGUAGCAUUGUACAUGUAACACACUUUAUUGCACCUUUAUGAUGUAUCUUCAGAUGUACUCCGCAGGUGCAUGGGUGGGAGUGAGUAAAUACAUCUGAGUCCGUAUAUGUACUGACAUAAAUACUGACCCAUUUACAGAGUUGCACUUGUAGAAGUACCAGUGUUUAUUUUAGAUAAUCGUACGAUUCAGAUUUUCUCUGCAGUGUUGUGAUGUUGUACCUCUGAGGUGUCAAUACUUCCGUUAUCCUAUGUGUGCACAUAUGUAUACAGAAACACCCCCACACAUAAUUUUUGAUACACAAAUAAAAAUAUUUUUCAUUGUCUCA
This 1098-nucleotide long non-coding RNA is filed under the name Numida meleagris (helmeted guineafowl). Its description in RNAcentral is "lncRNA (ENSNMEG00000015648.1)". The record is from RNAcentral. Lineage: Eukaryota; Metazoa; Chordata; Aves; Galliformes; Numididae.